RNAcentral lists this long non-coding RNA (337 nucleotides) under Helianthus annuus (common sunflower). RNAcentral describes it as "hypothetical non coding rna". The record is from RNAcentral. Lineage: Eukaryota; Viridiplantae; Streptophyta; Magnoliopsida; Asterales; Asteraceae.
UUUUGUGGGCGUGGGGUUGGUUUGUUUGUUUUACAGUUGGUAGUUUUUUUAAGCAUAUAGCAAUCGAUUUAUUUUUUUUGUGUGUAUUAGAUCGAAUUUGAAGUUGGUCUUUGUAAUCAUAUUAUUUUGUGCUUCUUCACGGACUAUUCCUACUUGAGAACUACUUCAGAAAGAGCACUCUUGCUACUGUUUUUGUUGUAAAAUAAUCGAAUUUGCAAUGAGCAUUGGUAUGUUCAAAAAAAAGUACUGGUCAAUGAAGACACAUAUUUUGAAUACUUUCGUCCUUUCACAAAAGUGUAAUGUGUCGCCUCUUAUGUGUUUCACACAAGUUUUAUGA